AACUCCGCAGCCACUUGUGCGCAUCACGUUUGCCUCGGUGUGAAUGGAAGCAGGAGCUGGCAGCUUGCAGGGAGCCAGAUGUGUCAGCCCUUGCAUAGACCUUGAUGACUCAAAAUAACCUUUAAUGAACAUCCCAGAGUGCUGGUUUGGCAGCUGGAUCAUCCAGAGCUCCAGAAAUGUUUCCUGCUGUCCCAGCAGUGCUGAUCUGCUUGCACUGGGAGAGCUCUCUGACUGGCAGAGCCCUUAGGUCUGGCCUGAACUGGAAUUAUGGCCACUGAUGAACUCUGAAAUUUCCCAAUUAAA
This is a long non-coding RNA of Pipra filicauda (Wire-tailed manakin), 303 nucleotides long. RefSeq lists it as uncharacterized. The transcript has 3 exons. NCBI's taxonomy places the organism in Eukaryota, Metazoa, Chordata, Aves, Passeriformes, Pipridae. The record is from RefSeq and is a predicted model, not a curated record.